This 706-nucleotide ribosomal RNA is filed under the name uncultured bacterium. Its description in RNAcentral is "bacterial SSU rRNA". It matches the Rfam family "Bacterial small subunit ribosomal RNA", at positions 56 to 760 of the family's 1533-position model. The record is from RNAcentral.
UGCAGUCGAGGGGCAGCAUUUACUUCGGUAAGGUGGCGACCGGCGAACGGGUGCGUAACGCGUAUGCAACCUACCUUAUACAAAAGGAUAGCCCAUGGAAACGUGGAUUAAUACUUUAUGGUACUAUAAGACUUCCUGGUUUAAUAGUUAAAACUUCGGUGAUAUAAGAUGGGCAUGCGUAUGAUUAGGUAGUUGGUGAGGUAAAGGCUCACCAAGCCGACGAUCAUUAGGGGUUCUGAGAGGAUUAUCCCCCACACUGGUACUGAGACACGGACCAGACUCCUACGGGAGGCAGCAGUGAGGAAUAUUGGUCAAUGGACGCAAGUCUGAACCAGCCAUCCCGCGUGCAGGAUGACGGCCCUAUGGGUUGUAAACUGCUUUUGUUUGCCAAGAAUGGUUACUACGUGUAGUAAUUUGACGGUAGCGAAUGAAUAAGGACCGGCUAACUCCGUGCCAGCAGCCGCGGUAAUACGGAGGGUCCAAGCGUUAUCCGGAUUCAUUGGGUUUAAAGGGUGCGCAGGCGGACCUUUAAGUCAGUGGUGAAAUCUUGCCGCUUAACGGUAAAAUUGCCAUUGAUACUGAAGGUCUUGAAUAUGGUUGAGGUAGGCGGAAUGUGUUGUGUAGCAGUGAAAUGCAUAGAUAUGACACAGAACGCCGAUUGCGAAGGCAGCUUACUAAGCCAUUAUUGACGCUGAGGCACGAAAGC